CCUUACGUCCACUCUUACUUUGCAUGUAUAAUUUUGUCUUGUUUCCUCGUGUCAGGUAUUGUCUCAUUUACCUUAGACACUUUUCUUCUGUAUUCAUGAGUACUUCGGCAUACUCAUUUUUUAUCCCCUUAUCCUGUUAUGCUUUUUUCUCAUUUAUCUCUACCUGUGUGGGGAGUAAACUGAAUAUCUAGGUGCUUUCAUCUGCUCUUCAAUAUCAAGGUGCUUUCAUCUGUUCCUAAAUAUCGAGGUGCUUUUGUCUGUUCCUCAAUAUCGAGGUGCUUUCAUCUGCUCCUCAGUAUCAAGGUGCUUUCAUCUGCUCCUCAAUAUCGAGGUGCUUUCAUCUGCUCCUCAAGCCCCAAGUGGCUGUCGAGCAGAUUAAAUCACCAAAGCGGGCGACCUCGUAAUGAGCCAAUAGGCUUUCUGUUGCCUGGAUUUCCAUGUUUCCUCAUGUUAGUUUUCAAUCAGCAAGCCUAAUUUUUUUCCUCCUAUUUUCUCUCUGUAUUUGUCAUUAUAAAAUACAAUGGUUCCUUUUAUGAAACUGCUGGUAAUAGAUCAGUUUAAGUAUUUGCAUCCCUUCAUUGUUACUGUCAGAAAUGUAAACUAACAAAUGAUUUUUUCACAUUAACUGGGGCAGGGUGGCAAAUGUUUUUAGUUUGUCACCGUUACUGACAUGUAUCCUUACACUAACUUGCUUUACUUUUUAGUCUGAGUUUAGGGGGAGCUGUAUUUAGCCUUCCAGUGAAGCUAAGGCUCAUAUUCUCAAACAUUUCGUGGCUUAACACCCACAAUUGAUAGGACAUUCAUGGGGAUUGUUAGUAUUUCCAUGGGUAGUUUUAACAUACCCAUAAUUGAUAGGGCAUUCAUGGCAGUUGUUAGUAUUUCCAUGGGUAGUUUUAACACACCCACAAUUACUAGGGCAUUCAUGGAGGUUGUUAGUAUUUCCAUGGGUAGUUUUAACAUACCCAUAAUUGAUAGGCUAUUCAUGGAGGUUGUUAGUAUUUCCAUGGGUAGUUUUAACACACCCACAAUUACUAGGGCAUUCAUGGAGGUUGUUAGUAUUUCCAUGGGUAGUUUUAACACACCCACAAUUACUAGGGCAUUCAUGGAGGUUGUUAGUAUUUCCAUGGGUAGUUUUAACACACCCACAAUUACUAGGGCAUUCAUGGAGGUUGUUAGUAUUUCCAUGGGUAGUUUUAACACACCCACAAUUGAUAGGGCAUUCAUGGAGGUUGUUAGUAUUUCCAUGGGUAGUUUUAACACACCCACAAUUACUAGGGCAUUCAUGGAGGUUGUUAGUAUUUCCAUGGGUAGUUUUACGAGCCUAGUGAUAGUGUGACAAGGCUUCUGCACCAUGAAUGUGAAAAGCACCCGUGAGAACCUGACUAAUCUGUGUGGCUUUUGGAAACAUUUGUUGAGAGCCAAAAGGAUCUGAGAAUACAAGACCCAAAACUCACCCUAAAAUUAUCCUCUC
Molecule: long non-coding RNA, 1471 nt
Organism: Eriocheir sinensis (Chinese mitten crab)
Lineage: Eukaryota; Metazoa; Arthropoda; Malacostraca; Decapoda; Varunidae
Exons: 5
Source: RefSeq, a predicted model, not a curated record